Long non-coding RNA from Ostrea edulis (European flat oyster), 1948 nucleotides. RefSeq lists it as uncharacterized. The transcript has 2 exons. NCBI's taxonomy places the organism in Eukaryota, Metazoa, Mollusca, Bivalvia, Ostreida, Ostreidae. The record is from RefSeq and is a predicted model, not a curated record.
CCGUUGGCGUUGCUGGUGUUGUAAAUUUUUUCCAUUUUCAUCUUCUCCUCCAGAACCACUAGGUCAAAUUCAACCAAACUUGGCACAAAGCAUCCUUAAGUGAAGGGCUUUCAAGUUUGUUCAAAUGAAGGGUCAUGCCCUAUUCAAAGGGGAGAUAAUCACAAAAAUAGGGUGGGGUCAUUUAAAAAUCUUCUUCUCAAGAACCACUGGACCAGAGGAGUUGAAAUUUAUGUGAAAGCUUUCUGACAUAAUGCAGAUUCAAGGUUGUUCCCAUCAUGGCCCCCAGGGGUAAGUUGGGGCCACAAUAGGGGAUCAAAAUUUUACAUGGGAAUACAUAGGGAAAAUCUUUAAAAAUCCUCUUCUCAAGAACCACUGGGCAAGAAGAGCUGAGAUUUACAUGAAAGUUUCCUGACACAGUGCAGAUUCAAGAUUGUUAAAAUCAUAGCCCUCAGGAGUAGGAUGGGGCCACAAUAGGGGAUCAAAGUUUUACAUGUAAAUACAUAGAGAAAAUCUUUAAAAUCUUCUUCUCAAGAACACUGGACUAGGAAAGUACAAAUUUACAUAAAAGCUUUCUGACAUAGUGCAGAUUCAAGUUUGUUAAAAUCAUGGCCCCCGGGGGUAGGAUGGGACCACAAUAGGGGAUCAAAGACGAUUAGUAAAUCACAGGGUUUAGCAAUCUUAAAUGAGUGGAUUAGUAAAUCACAUGAUUUAGCAAUCUAAAGUGAGUGGAUUAAUAAAUCACAGGGUUUAGCAAUCUUAAGUGAAUGGAUUAGCAAAUCACAGGGUUUAGCAAUAUUAACACAACUUCAAAUGAGGAAGUUAAUAGGGGUGUAACAAAAUAAGCGAAUCGAACAAUUGACUUGCGAAGAUGAAUGACUUCCUGUCAAGAGUUUUAAGCUGAGACCCUUUACAUACAAUGCAAACUUAAGGAAGUAUGUCACAGCCUGGUGAUGGCUGAUACUGCUGGAAGCAAAGCUAUACAAAUUAUGGCUUAAGAAAAACACCCUAUGUAAGCAUUUUCACAGACAUAUUAUGUACCAUUUGCAGUACUCUUGUUUAGUACUACCUGCCGAGUAAUCAUUACCAAAUAUGGAGCAUCGACAAGGUCAAAGGGUUUUUUGGCUAGAGGCUGGAGUUUUCAGAGAAUGAUUAUGAAGAAUUGCUUCCGUUUGGAUCUGAGUGUUCCCCAAACACUAUAUUUGUGUGGCCAUCUAAAGGACAUGGAGAUUUGUGGGUAUGGGAACCUACAGACAGAACACUUAAAGUCAACACAACAAUGUUUGUCCGAUGAGGAUAUGAUGAGGAUGACGAUGAUGUGACAUAUUAUAUGAGGCAUUUAUAUGAAUUUGAAUUCCUCUGCUUGUAUGUUAUUGCAUGAUCAUGGAUGACUGAUUUUUAUUAAUUCUAUAUACCGGUAGGCAGGUUUUGUUCAUUAUCUUAUUUGAGAGUACUGGUUUGGAUCACUCAGACAUUGAUUGAUUGAAUGAGAGAGAACGAGAGAGAGAGAACAAGAGAGAGAGAGAGAAAGAGAGAUCUUACAUGUCAUCAUCCAUAGGAAUCCUGUGAAUUAUUUUUAGUUUGAUGAUUACGAUGUUAUCAGAGAUGGUUGGCUGCUGACUUUCUCCUUGGUUAAUUCUUGUCAUUGAAUAUGCCAUGGCUUUGCAUUUUUUGAUAUAUGUGUCUACUCAGUGUGCAAUAUGUUUAUAGCCAUAUUUAUAUAAGUACAAUGCACAUGCAUAGAGAGGAAAGAAAACUGCUUCUGUCGCAGACAAGUAGUUUUCAUGGCCAGAAUUAUGCUGUAUACAUAAAGAUAUUCUUUUCAUGGAGGAAAAAUUGUAAAAAUGAGUCCAAUAUGUGUUGUAAUUUUUAAAAUACCAGUGUUGGUUAUUGUUACCAUUGAAGAAUUUAUUGCAGUAUAUAUUUAUGAAAUAAAUAUUAAAUUAUUGAU